Molecule: ribosomal RNA, 1352 nt
Filed under: Pedobacter roseus
Lineage: Bacteria; Pseudomonadati; Bacteroidota; Sphingobacteriia; Sphingobacteriales; Sphingobacteriaceae
Description: bacterial SSU rRNA
Rfam family: Bacterial small subunit ribosomal RNA
Source: RNAcentral
CGAUAGAUAGAAGCUUGCUUUUAUCGAAAGUGGCGCACGGGUGCGUAACGCGUAUGCAACCUACCUUAAUCAGGGGGAUAGCCCGGAGAAAUCCGGAUUAACACCGCAUAAAAACACAGGAUAGCAUUAUCCAAUGUUCAAAUAUUUAUAGGAUUAAGAUGGGCAUGCGUGUCAUUAGCUAGUUGGCGGGGUAACGGCCCACCAAGGCGACGAUGACUAGGGGAUCUGAGAGGAUGGCCCCCCACACUGGUACUGAGACACGGACCAAACUCAAACGGGAGGCAGCAGUAAGGAAUAUUGGUCAAUGGAGGCAACUCUGAACCAGCCAUGCCGCGUGCAGGAAGACUGCCCUAUGGGUUGUAAACUGCUUUUAUCCGGGAAUAAACCACAUUACGUGUAGUGUGCUGAAUGUACCGGAAGAAUAAGGAUCGGCUAACUCCGUGCCAGCAGCCGCGGUAAUACGGAGGAUCCAAGCGUUAUCCGGAUUUAUUGGGUUUAAAGGGUGCGUAGGCGGCCUGUUAAGUCAGGGGUGAAAGACGGUAGCUCAACUAUCGCAGUGCCCUUGAUACUGAUGGGCUUGAAUGGACUAGAGGUAGGCGGAAUGAGACAAGUAGCGGUGAAAUGCAUAGAUAUGUCUCAGAACACCGAUUGCGAAGGCAGCUUACUAUGGUCUUAUUGACGCUGAGGCACGAAAGCGUGGGGAUCAAACAGGAUUAGAUACCCUGGUAGUCCACGCCCUAAACGAUGAACACUCGCUGUUGGCGAUACACAGUCAGCGGCUAAGCGAAAGCGUUAAGUGUUCCACCUGGGGAGUACGCCCGCAAGGGUGAAACUCAAAGGAAUUGACGGGGGCCCGCACAAGCGGAGGAGCAUGUGGUUUAAUUCGAUGAUACGCGAGGAACCUUACCCGGGCUUGAAAGUUAGUGAAUGAUCUAGAGAUAGAUCAGUCCGCAAGGACACGAAACUAGGUGCUGCAUGGCUGUCGUCAGCUCGUGCCGUGAGGUGUUGGGUUAAGUCCCGCAACGAGCGCAACCCCUAUGUUUAGUUGCCAGCACGUAAUGGUGGGGACUCUAAACAGACUGCCUGUGCAAACAGAGAGGAAGGAGGGGACGACGUCAAGUCAUCAUGGCCCUUACGUCCGGGGCUACACACGUGCUACAAUGGAUGGUACAGAGGGCAGCUACAUAGCAAUAUGAUGCGAAUCUCACAAAGCCAUUCACAGUUCGGAUUGGGGUCUGCAACUCGACCCCAUGAAGUUGGAUUCGCUAGUAAUCGCGUAUCAGCAAUGACGCGGUGAAUACGUUCCCGGGCCUUGUACACACCGCCCGUCAAGCCAUGGAAGCUGGGGGUAC